GGCGUCAUAGCUCAGUUGGGAGAGCAGCAGACUGAAGCUUAUCACGAAUAUCUGAAGGUCCCGUGUUCAAGCCACGGUGAUGCCA
Mycena rebaudengoi is the source of this 85-nucleotide non-coding RNA. The record is from the annotation of a GenBank genome assembly. Lineage: Eukaryota; Fungi; Basidiomycota; Agaricomycetes; Agaricales; Mycenaceae.